Leptidea sinapis is the source of this 990-nucleotide long non-coding RNA. RefSeq lists it as uncharacterized. Lineage: Eukaryota; Metazoa; Arthropoda; Insecta; Lepidoptera; Pieridae. The transcript is spliced from 3 exons. The record is from RefSeq and is a predicted model, not a curated record.
CACAAAGCACGGCAAUAUUUACACUAUUGAAGGCACCUGAGAUGUCAAAAAAUACAGACAAAAGAUACUGAUUACUUGCUAAACAUUGAUGCGCAUCAAGCUGUAACUGCGCUAUACUCUCCCUAGAAGACCGACCUUUGCGAAAACCAAACUGAUUAUUAGGCAAAAGACAAUUUUGUUCUAUAAAGAACUCGAGACGUUGUUUUAGAAGCUGCUCAAAUAUCUUCCCAACACAAGACGUGAGAGCUAUAGGUCUAUAAGAGUCAGCAUUUAAAACUGCUUCUGUACACCUCUGAUUCCACCAAGGCAACCAAGGAUAUUUAAAAGAUUUUUGUGAACAAGAACUAGUAACAUUAUUACUAUUAGAACUUUUGGAAAACAGACAGCUAGGGAUUGACUGCUUGGCAGCAGAAAGUAAAAUAUUACAAAAGGAAUUAAAAGCAUCUAUUGAAGAUAAAGUGUCAAAUUUAACAUCAUCCAAAUAAGAAACAACUAAGUUACUAUACAUAUUCCAAUUCACCUGCUUAUAAUUAGGGGAGAUGAUAACUACUGCCCAGAGGACUGUCAAUAACUGACCAGUCACAUAAAAGAGCCAAUGAUGGAGUUACCAAAGUCAAGUCAAGAGCAUUAGGACGCCAAGAUGGAGAUCCUAUUGUGGUAGCUUGACCAUUAUUCAGAAUAACAAGACCAUUCUCAUCUAUAACCUCUAAAACAUCUUUACCUCGAGGCAAUGUAUCAACACAUCCCCACAACAUGUGAUGAGCAUUGAAAUCACCUGCAAAUAUCAUUGGCUCUGGAAUGGACUUAAUUAAACUGUUUAAAUUGUUUUUAUUAAAUGGAGGAUUUGAAUUGGAAGGACUGUAAAAACUUACAAUACUCAGUUCUUUGUUAUUAAUUUUAAUUUUAAUGCAAACAUUUUGUAGAGCACUAUCAAAAUAUGUAUUUAUGUUAGAAAAUGUGAUAUUAUUAUGAAUAAAAAUUGCUACACCA